AGGUGCGAUCAUACCAGCACUAAUGCAACGGAUCCCAUCAGUACUCCACUGUGAAGCGUGCUUGGGAGAGAGGAGUACAAGGAUGGGUGAGCUUCAGGGAAAUCCUCGUGCUGCUCCUC
RNAcentral lists this ribosomal RNA (119 nucleotides) under Lupinus angustifolius (narrow-leaved blue lupine). Lineage: Eukaryota; Viridiplantae; Streptophyta; Magnoliopsida; Fabales; Fabaceae. The record is from RNAcentral.